CCCCUAGUAACUGCGAGUGAAGCGGGAAAAGCUCAAAUUUAAAAUCUGGCAGUCUUUGAUUGUCCGAGUUGUAAUCUAGAGAAGUGUUAUCCGCGUUGGACCGUGUACAAGUCUCCUGGAGUGGAGCAUCAUAGAGGGUGAGAAUCCCGUCUUUGACACGGACUACCAGUGCUUUGUGAUGCGCUCUCAAAGAGUCGAGUUGUUUGGGAAUGCAGCUCAAAAUGGGUGGUAAAUUCCAUCUAAAGCUAAAUAUUGGCGAGAGACCGAUAGCGAACAAGUACCGUGAGGGAAAGAUGAAAAGAACUUUGGAAAGAGAGUUAAACAGUACGUGAAAUUGCUGAAAGGGAAACGCUUGAAGUCAGUCGCGUUGGCUGGAAAUCAACCUUGCUUUUGCUGGGCGUACUUUCUAGUCAAUGGGUCAGCAUCAAUUUUGACCAUUGGAAAAAGUGUAGAGGAAUGUGGCAUCUUCGGAUGUGUUAUAGCCUUUGCUCGCAUACAGUGGUUGGGAUUGAGGAAUUCAGCAGGGAAAAAA
RNAcentral lists this ribosomal RNA (532 nucleotides) under Conocybe apala. RNAcentral's name for it is "eukaryotic LSU rRNA". It matches the Rfam family "Eukaryotic large subunit ribosomal RNA", at positions 77 to 609 of the family's 3401-position model. The record is from RNAcentral. Lineage: Eukaryota; Fungi; Basidiomycota; Agaricomycetes; Agaricales; Bolbitiaceae.